GACGAACCGUGCGAACGUUGUUCGGAAUCACUGGGCUUAAAGGGAGCGUAGGCGGGCUAUCAAGUCUGGGGUGAAAUCCCACGGCUCAACCGUGGAACUGCCUUAGAUACUGACGGCCUCGAGGGAGAUAGGGGCAUGCGGAACUGUAGGUGGAGCGGUGAAAUGCGUUGAUAUCUGCAGGAACUCCGGUGGCGAAAGCGGCGUGCUGGAUCUCUUCUGACGCUGAGGCUCGAAAGCUAGGGGAGCAAACGGG
Molecule: ribosomal RNA, 253 nt
Filed under: uncultured bacterium
Lineage: Bacteria
Description: partial 16S ribosomal RNA
Rfam family: Bacterial small subunit ribosomal RNA
Source: RNAcentral